Long non-coding RNA from Arabidopsis lyrata subsp. lyrata, 1080 nucleotides. RefSeq lists it as uncharacterized. Lineage: Eukaryota; Viridiplantae; Streptophyta; Magnoliopsida; Brassicales; Brassicaceae. The record is from RefSeq and is a predicted model, not a curated record. The transcript has 6 exons.
AUCUCACAACUCUGUCUACUUCAUAUGACAGAUUGAUAGAUUUGGGCAUUUCAAAAUUUGGCAUGCUGCAGGAUCUAUAUUAUUUGCUAUCUCAUUUUCUUCGGGUUUUGGCGGUUGUUUGCCUUAUUCACUCCUCCAGAGUAACUCCUCAACUAUCGAAACAUUAUCAUACAUCAUGUUUGCAGCUAUCUUCAAUGUAGGAUAAGCUGCUACUCAGGUUUCUCACAUGUAAAACAAUCUUUCUUUUUUCAUUUGAUCAAGUUUACUCAGUGAGAUAUUCAUUUUUCUUAAUCAAGCCGAGUAGCACUAGCUAACAAGCUCCUGUAAUGCGUUUUUGCAUGGUUGCUAAUUUAGGCUCAUACACGAUUGCUUUAGUUGUAUUUGGUGUUAGCGAGGCCAUGGCAAAAGAAAAAUACCAAAACUUAGUAUCGUUGGAUUGUUUAUUCAUCCAUAACCGUUGGCUGCUGUUUUUUGGUCAUAUUUCUUAUGUGGACAAAGGAACCAAGCCUGAGGAGAAAUCUAAGAGAAACUAGCCGAUCAAGAAUACCAUGGUCUUAUUGGUUCCGUAAAAUUCUAUUACCAUCAAGUUCCUAUGGUUUAUCUCCUCACUCGACUAGUACUGACUGUUUAACAGGAAUAUCUUGCAUUCUUUAUUAUUGAUGAUUUGCAAAUGGCUCAAAUCUGCCAAAGCUCUACACUGAAAUGUACAGGCACUUCACCAAAGGUCGAUGUAAACAUCAAACGAUAUUUUUACUUCUCGGUGACAAGAUAUGGGUUAGGACUUGUUCCAGCUCUAUGCUCGCUUGUUGGAGUUGUUGUAACAUAUUUUAUGGAACUCAAUAGCACAAUUCUAAAGCUUCUGUGUCAAUCGCUACUACUAGAAUGAACAGAAGGAAGAUACACAACGCUUCUGGUCUGGUAAAACACAUAUAGCUCAAAACUUGGUUACUGUUUGACAGUAAUAUGUUUCAGUCUGCUAAAUUUUUGUUCAUAAGGAUAGGUUUAUAUCACACUGCGACAUGCAAUACAUUUGUACAAGAAUUACUUGAAGUCAUUAUAAAAUAUUGCCUGUUUUUAUAA